CGGUUACUGGGUUCGAAGCAGAAAGGACCGGGCAUCUGAACGUACCUGUUGGGUCACACAGAGACAGUCUCUUAUCAAACAUUCUGAUAUGACGUUGUUCUGUUUUGAGUUGUGGGAAAGCCUCAUGGCCCUAUAAGGUUAAAAGGAAAUGAAACCAGCAAAAUACAAGUGAAAGAAAUCAAACAUUUGACCCAAAUGUCGCACAGAGUGAAGAGCCUCACUGGCCCAGACACAAACCAGCAUAAACACCUCCAGUCAAAAUGCUGAACAAACACACAGGGACCGGAUGAAACAGGGAGGUCUGGGAAUCCCUGAUUGGAACAGAGAGAGGUGAACCGGGUGUCUGUCAGAGGGCCCCUGACUGGAACAGAGAGAGGUGAACCAGGUCUGACUGGAACAGAGGCAGGUGAACCGGGUCUGACUGGAACAGAGGCAGGUGAACCGGGUCUGACUGGAACAGAGGCAGGUGAACCGGGUCUGACUGGAACAGAGGCAGGUGAACCGGGUCUGACUGGAACAGAGGCAGGUGAACCGGGUCUGACUGGAACAGAGACAGGUGAACCGGGUCUGACUGGAACAGAGAGAGGUGAACCAGGUCUGACUGGAACAGAGACUGGCUGUGUUCCAAAACGAAUUUCUAACAGGUCUUUGAGAAAAUUAAGGAAGGCUUUCUGCCACCUCUCCAGUCUCACUACUCUCAACAAACAGAGUGAUCUAGUCUCACUACUCUCAACAAACAGAGUGAUCUAGUCUCACUACUCUCAACAAACAGAGUGAUCUAGUCUCACUACUCUCAACAAACAGAGUGAUCUAGUAUACAGCCAUUGUGAAGACGCUGAUCCAGUCUACAGCCAUUGUGAAGACUGUGAUCCAGUCUACAGCCAUUGUAAAGACUGUGAUGUAGUCUACAGCCAUUGUGAAGACUGUGGGGCGACACACAAUUGGCCGAGUGUCAUCCGGGUUAGGGAGGGUUUGGCCGGUAGGGAUAUCCUUGUCUCAUCACGCACCAGCGACUCCUCUGGCGGACCGGGUGCAGCGCACGCUAACCAGGGUCGCCAGGUGCACGACACAUCGGUGCAGCUGGCUUCCUCAUUCAGUCUUCAACGAGUUCCGGAGGGCCUCAUUCAGUCUUCAACGAGUUCCUGAGGGCCUCUUUCAGUCUUCAACGAGUUCGGGAGGGCCUCAUUCAGUCUUCAACGAGUUCCGGAGGGCCUCAUUCAGUCUUCAACGAGUUCCGGAGGGCCUCAUUCAGUCUUCAACGAGAUCCGGAGGGCCUCAUUCAGUCUUCAACGAGUUCCGGAGGGCCUCAUUCAGUCUUCAACGAGUUCCGGAGGGCCGUACUGAAAAUGUUUUAUAUUUCCUCGUCGUCAAAAUGUGCUAAAAAAACUUCUCUGUUCAUCGUUUUUAACAUUUUCGAUGCUCCCUGACUGUCUAGAGUUCUUUUCAGUGAUUAUUAGUGAACUGGGCCCAGUCAAUAAACUGUAUGAAUGUAGUGAUUAUUAGUGAACUGGACCCAGUCAAUAAACUGUAUGAAUGUAGUGAUUAUUAGUGAGCUGGACCCAGUCAAUAAACUGUAUGAAUGUA
Molecule: long non-coding RNA, 1584 nt
Organism: Oncorhynchus tshawytscha (Chinook salmon)
Lineage: Eukaryota; Metazoa; Chordata; Actinopteri; Salmoniformes; Salmonidae
Source: Ensembl